GGGAGUGAAGGCCCGGGGCGGGCACUAGAUUCAGGUUCUAGUUCUCGCAAGGGAGUGGAGGUUCAAGUCCUCUCAUCCGCACCA
Molecule: transfer RNA, 84 nt
Filed under: Acidobacteriota bacterium
Lineage: Bacteria; Pseudomonadati; Acidobacteriota
Description: Acidobacteria bacterium tRNA-Leu
Source: RNAcentral